This 67-nucleotide small RNA is filed under the name Flavobacterium degerlachei. Its description in RNAcentral is "Flavo-1 RNA". It matches the Rfam family "Flavo-1 RNA". Lineage: Bacteria; Pseudomonadati; Bacteroidota; Flavobacteriia; Flavobacteriales; Flavobacteriaceae. The record is from RNAcentral.
UUUUAGCCCCGAUAGCAGCGACAUCCCACGCUUUUUUGCGUGGAUAUAGCGGAUAGCGGGAAAUAGC